This 301-nucleotide ribosomal RNA is filed under the name uncultured bacterium. Its description in RNAcentral is "partial 16S ribosomal RNA". It matches the Rfam family "Bacterial small subunit ribosomal RNA", at positions 509 to 807 of the family's 1533-position model. The record is from RNAcentral.
CAGUAGCCGCGGUAAUACGAAGGGUGCAAGCGUUACUCGGAAUUACUGGGCGUAAAGCGUGCGUAGGUGGUGGUUUAAGUCCGUUGUGAAAGCCCUGGGCUCAACCUGGGAAUUGCAGUGGAUACUGGGUCACUAGAGUGUGGUAGAGGAUAGUGGAAUUUCCGGUGUAGCAGUGAAAUGCGUAGAGAUCGGGAGGAACAUCAGUGGCGAAGGCGGCCAUCUGGGACAACACUGACGCUGAGGCACGAAAGCGUGGGGAGCAAACAGGAUUAGAUACCCGCGUAGUCCCUGUCUCUUAUAC